GUCGAGGAUCAUUCGCAAUGGGCGAAAGCCUGACGAUGCGACGCUGCGUGGAGGAUGAAGGCCCUCGGGUCGUAAACUCCUGUCAUGGGGGGCGAGGCGGAGGCGGUUAACGGCCGCCCGAGUUGACGGUACCCCAAGAGGAAGCCACGGCUAACUCUGUGCCAGCAGCCGCGGUAAUACAGAGGUGGCGAGCGUUGUUCGGAUUUACUGGGCAUAAAGGGCGCGUAGGCGGCCGCGUGUGUGGGGUGUGAAAUCUCCGGGCUCAACCCGGAAAGUGCGCUCCAAACUGCGCGGCUCGAGUGCGGGAGGGGAGAUCGGAAUGCAGGGUGUAGCGGUGAAAUGCGUUGAUAUCCUGCAGAACACCGGUGGCGAAGGCGGAUCUCUGGAACGCAACUGACGCUGAGGCGCGAAAGCAGGGGGAGCAAACAGGAUUAGAUACCCUAGUAGUCC
RNAcentral lists this ribosomal RNA (450 nucleotides) under uncultured bacterium. RNAcentral's name for it is "partial 16S ribosomal RNA". It matches the Rfam family "Bacterial small subunit ribosomal RNA", at positions 354 to 796 of the family's 1533-position model. The record is from RNAcentral.